CCUGGCAGUCCAGUGGUUAAGACUCUGUACUUUCAGUGCAGGGGGCAGGGUUCAAUCCCUGGUCAGGA
RNAcentral lists this transfer RNA (68 nucleotides) under Ovis aries (sheep). Lineage: Eukaryota; Metazoa; Chordata; Mammalia; Artiodactyla; Bovidae. The record is from Rfam by way of RNAcentral.